This 450-nucleotide ribosomal RNA is filed under the name uncultured bacterium. RNAcentral's name for it is "partial 16S ribosomal RNA". It matches the Rfam family "Bacterial small subunit ribosomal RNA", at positions 338 to 795 of the family's 1533-position model. The record is from RNAcentral.
CCUACGGGGGGCAGCAGUGGGGAAUUUUGGACAAUGGGGGCAACCCUGAUCCAGCCAUUCCGCGUGAGUGAAGAAGGCCUUCGGGUUGUAAAGCUCUUUCGGCCGGGAAGAAAUCGCAUCUCCUAAUACGGGGUGUGGAUGACGGUACCGGAAGAAGAAGCACCGGCUAACUACGUGCCAGCAGCCGCGGUAAUACGUAGGGUGCGAGCGUUAAUCGGAAUUACUGGGCGUAAAGCGUGCGCAGGCGGCUGGAAUCCCCGGGCUUAACUUGGGAACUGCGUUUGUGACUGGUGGGCUUGAGUGCGGCAGAGGGGGGUGGAAUUCCACGUGUAGCAGUGAAAUGCGUAGAGAUGUGGAGGAACACCGAUGGCGAAGGCAGCCCCCUGGGUCGACACUGACGCUCAUGCGCGAAAGCGUGGGGAGCAAACAGGAUUAGAUACCCCGGUAGUC